GGGCCCGCACAAGCAGCGGAGCAUGUUGCUUAAUUCGAGGCAACGCGAAGAACCUUACCUGGGUUUGACAUGUAGAGAAAAGCCACAGAGAUGUGGUGUCCUUCGGGGUUCUACACAGGUGGUGCAUGGUUGUCGUCAGCUCGUGUCGUGAGAUGUUGGGUUAAGUCCCGCAACGAGCGCAACCCUUGUCCUAUGUUGCCAGCACGUAAUGGUGGGGACUCGUAGGAGACUGCCGGGGUCAACUCGGAGGAAGGUGGGGAUGACGUCAAAUCAUCAUGCCCCUUAUAUCCAGGGCUGCAAACAUGCUACAAUGGCCGGUACAAAGGGCUGCUAAACCGCGAGGUGGAGCGAAUCCCAUAAAGCCGGUCUCAGUUCGGAUUGGAGUCUGCAACUCGACUCCAUGAAGCUGGAGUUGCUAGUAAUCCCGGAUCAGCAACGCCGGGGUGAAUACGUUCCCGGGCCUU
RNAcentral lists this ribosomal RNA (464 nucleotides) under uncultured bacterium. Its description in RNAcentral is "bacterial SSU rRNA". It matches the Rfam family "Bacterial small subunit ribosomal RNA", at positions 917 to 1382 of the family's 1533-position model. The record is from RNAcentral.